RNAcentral lists this ribosomal RNA (484 nucleotides) under uncultured bacterium. Its description in RNAcentral is "partial 16S ribosomal RNA". It matches the Rfam family "Bacterial small subunit ribosomal RNA", at positions 30 to 507 of the family's 1533-position model. The record is from RNAcentral.
AUUGAACGCUGGCGGAAUGCUUUACACAUGCAAGUCGAACGGCAGCACGGGGGCAACCCUGGUGGCGAGUGGCGAACGGGUGAGUAAUACAUCGGAACGUGCCCGGUCGUGGGGGAUAACGUAGCGAAAGUUACGCUAAUACCGCAUACGAUCUGAGGAUGAAAGCGGGGGACCUUCGGGCCUCGCGCGAUCGGAGCGGCCGAUGUCAGAUUAGGUAGUUGGUGGGGUAAAGGCCUACCAAGCCGACGAUCUGUAGCUGGUCUGAGAGGACGACCAGCCACACUGGGACUGAGACACGGCUCAGACUCCUACGGGAGGCAGCAGUGGGGAAUUUUGGACAAUGGGCGCAAGCCUGAUCCAGCCAUUCCGCGUGCAGGACGAAGGCCUUCGGGUUGUAAACUGCUUUUGUAUGGAACGAAAAGGCUCUGGCUAAUACCUGGGGCUCAUGACGGUACCGUAAGAAUAAGCACCGGCUAACUACGUG